GAAUGUGUAGCUCAGCUGGAUAGAGCAACCCCCUCCUAAGGGGUAGGUCGGCGGUUCAAAUCCGCCCACGUUCGCCA
RNAcentral lists this transfer RNA (77 nucleotides) under Gallibacterium salpingitidis. RNAcentral's name for it is "tRNA-Arg". It matches the Rfam family "tRNA". Rfam says of the family: Transfer RNA (tRNA) molecules are approximately 80 nucleotides in length. Their secondary structure includes four short double-helical elements and three loops (D, anti-codon, and T loops). Lineage: Bacteria; Pseudomonadati; Pseudomonadota; Gammaproteobacteria; Pasteurellales; Pasteurellaceae. The record is from RNAcentral.